This 496-nucleotide ribosomal RNA is filed under the name uncultured bacterium. Its description in RNAcentral is "partial 16S ribosomal RNA". It matches the Rfam family "Bacterial small subunit ribosomal RNA", at positions 28 to 506 of the family's 1533-position model. The record is from RNAcentral.
GAUGAACGCUGGCGGCGUGCCUAAUACAUGCAAGUCGAGCGAACGGACGAGAAGCUUGCUUCUCUGAUGUUAGCGGCGGACGGGUGAGUAACACGUGGAUAACCUACCUAUAAGACUGGGAUAACUUCGGGAAACCGGAGCUAAUACCGGAUAAUAUUUUGAACCGCAUGGUUCAAAAGUGAAAGACGGUCUUGCUGUCACUUAUAGAUGGAUCCGCGCUGCAUUAGCUAGUUGGUAAGGUAACGGCUUACCAAGGCAACGAUGCAUAGCCGACCUGAGAGGGGGAUCGGCCACCCAGAACCUGAGACACGGUCCAGACUCCUACGGGAGGCAGCAGGAGGGAAUCUGCCGCAAUGGGCGAAAGCCUGACGGAGCAACGCCGCGUGAGUGAUGAAGGUCUGCGGAUCGUAAAACUCUGUUAUUAGGGAAGAACAUAUGUGUAAGUAACUGUGCACAUCUGGACGGUACCUAAGCAGAAAGCCACGGCUAACUACGU